This 1528-nucleotide long non-coding RNA is filed under the name Canis lupus familiaris (dog). RNAcentral describes it as "lncRNA (ENSCAFG00030007462.1)". Lineage: Eukaryota; Metazoa; Chordata; Mammalia; Carnivora; Canidae. The record is from RNAcentral.
AGAAAUAAAUAAAUAAAUAAUAAAUAGAGCGUGCGGGCGAGGGCGGCGGGCGCGGGCUGCGGGGGAGGGCGCGCUCCCGGGGACGCGGGCACCCCGCGCGCUGUGGCCUCCCGCCGCCGCCGCCCGGCUCGGCUCCUCCCGGCCGCGCAGUCAGCAAGUUCCGCGGCGGCCGCGGGGAGGGGGAGGGGGAGGGGAGGGGCGGGGAGGGGGAGGGGGAGGGGCGGGCGCGGCGGCGGCGGCGGCGGCGGCGGCGGAGGGCGGAGGGCGGAGGGCGGAGGGGCGCGCGCUCCCGGGGCCGCCGGGCACGAGCGCCUCCCGCCCGCGCGCCCGCCCGCCCCCCGCGCCCCGCGCCCCGCGCCCCCGGGCCGGGAGCUCCGCGGAGGACGCGCGGGGGACGCGGCGAUGCGGGGGCGCACGCGGGCCCCGGACAAAGAGCGCGGGCGGGGACCCUGCCGCCCUCGGCCGGGGAGGGCGGGGGCGCGGGGACGGCUUCCGGCCUGAGCCCGCCUCCCGAGCGAGGCUGCCCAUUGGGCCACCCGCCCCCGCGCGCACCGCGCACCCCGCACCGCGCACCCCGCACCCCGCACCCCCGCCCGCCGCGCCUCCGUGCACGCCCCGGGGGGGAGGGCGCGCCCCGAGGAGCCCCCGCCCUGGGAGGCCGCGAGCCUGCGGGGGUCGUGGAGCGGGCCCGGGAGGGCGGAGGCGGGGACGCGCUGCUCCUGGCCCGCCCCGGAGCCCCAAGGCCAACACGAGGUCGAGGGCAUCGAAGGAGGAGGAAGGAAGGGUUGGCAGCCCAGGGCCCCGCGCUCUGCCUGGCUCUGGCCCUCCGCGCGCCCAGGGGGCAGCCAGCCCUUCGGAGGCUUUCACAACUUAAAAAAUAACCCCAAUCGGGGCGGGGUGGGGGGGUGUUAAACGUCCUGCCCCAGCCUGAGCUCGCGGGGCUCUCCGAGGCCGCCUCCCCCGCCGGCCUGGCCCCAUGUGCACGCCGGGCAACCGUCCUGGAGCGGAGCGGAGCGGGGAGCGCUGGGCCACGCCGGGUCGGAGCGUGCGCGCAGGGGCAGCCUCGGAGGGGCGUCCUCCGGGCCGGUCUUGUCCCCUUCCAGCACCUUCUCUGCUCUGGGGUCCGAAGUACCAGAACUUCCUGUGGGCCGCCCAGAUGUCCUCCAGCUCCUGGGAACGUGCUCCAGGGAUGCAGCCCCGCGGGAAGCUGCGGAUCCCUGUCCCGCCGGGGCCAGGGGCAGGGCCAGGGCCAGGGGUGCUGGAGCCUGUGCAGCUCCCGGAGGCGGCGGGACCAGCAGCCAUAACAGAGCAACCGGACUCAAAAUGCAGAGGCACGCGGUGCACCCUGCUGCUCGGUGCUGCACACACAGUCCACCUUUGGGACGGUGCGAGGGCCAAGCCAGCUCGCUGUCCAGGAGGGGAACAGAUCCUUGGGGUUCGCCAGGUUGGUGAGGAGGAAGGAUCCUCGAGUCAGCACAACCGCCAGGUCUCAAGAGAUGGGGAAGAGGGAGCCUGCUCUGUGUGUUGA